CUUCUUUGGGAAAAAAGCCUUUGUAACUCUUCUUUCUUCUUCCUGCCUAGGACCCAUGUGCACAGGCUUAGAUGUGCAACAGCCAUAUCUAAUUACAAUAAUGGCAAGAGCCACCUACUAUGCUGGUGAAACAAGAAGACAGAAAAAGAGGACCACUGCUAACCCAUUUGACACCUGUGGAAUUAGAAAUAAGUGCUAUAGAAACCUGAGGGACACACAGGGAAAUCAGAAGACUAAGUGGAGAAGGGAGAAUCACAGACUGGGUUUUGUAUUAGAAAAAAUUAUCCAGAAGCUGAUACCGUCUGUCUUAAUUACCAUCUGUUAAUUUCCUUACCAAGUUCUGGAGAUUAAAAAUGGACACUGGAGGAACCUAAA
This is a long non-coding RNA of Homo sapiens (human), 375 nucleotides long. NCBI's taxonomy places the organism in Eukaryota, Metazoa, Chordata, Mammalia, Primates, Hominidae. The record is from Ensembl.